RNAcentral lists this transfer RNA (85 nucleotides) under Felis catus (domestic cat). It matches the Rfam family "tRNA". From Rfam's summary of the family: Transfer RNA (tRNA) molecules are approximately 80 nucleotides in length. Their secondary structure includes four short double-helical elements and three loops (D, anti-codon, and T loops). Further hydrogen bonds mediate the characteristic L-shaped molecular structure. tRNAs have two regions of fundamental functional importance: the anti-codon, which is responsible for specific mRNA codon recognition, and the 3' end, to which the tRNAs corresponding amino acid is attached (by aminoacyl-tRNA synthetases). tRNAs cope with the degeneracy of the genetic code in two manners: having more than one tRNA (with a specific anti-codon) for a particular amino acid; and 'wobble' base-pairing, i.e. permitting non-standard base-pairing at the 3rd anti-codon position. The record is from Rfam by way of RNAcentral. Lineage: Eukaryota; Metazoa; Chordata; Mammalia; Carnivora; Felidae.
GCCUGGGUGGCCCAGUUGGUUGAGCGUCUGACUUCGGCUCAGGUCAUGAUCUCACAGUUGGUGGGUUCAAGCCCCGCAUCGGGCU